GACUGAGCUGAUAGCAACUGAAAAUAGCCCACUGAGCACCUGUCCCUUGUACACCAGCCCCUGGCCGACUGCCAUUUAGGACAAUGUGGACUUACUCAGUAGACAGAUGAGAAGCCCAAGGUCAGCCCCAAACUCUACAUGUGUGUGUGUGAAGGUCUCUCCUGCGGUAAUGAGGACCACUGUGAAGGCCAGCAGUGCUUUUCCUCACUGAGCAUCAACGAUGGCUUCCACGUCUACCAGAAAGGCUGCUUCCAGGUUUAUGAGCAGGGAAAGAUGACCUGUAAGACCCCGCCGUCCCCUGGCCAAGCCGUGGAGUGCUGCCAAGGGGACUGGUGUAACAGGAACAUCACUGCCCAGCUGCCCACUAAAGGAAAAUCCUUCCCUGGAACACAGAAUUUCCACUUGGAGGUUGGCCUCAUUAUUCUCUCUGUAGUGUUUGCAGUAUGUCUUUUAGCCUGCCUGCUGGGAGUUGCUCUCCGAAAAUUUAAAAGGCGCAACCAAGAACGCCUCAAUCCCCGAGACGUGGAGUAUGGCACUAUCGAAGGGCUCAUCACCACCAAUGU
RNAcentral lists this small RNA (563 nucleotides) under Pan troglodytes (chimpanzee). Its description in RNAcentral is "processed transcript". The record is from RNAcentral. Lineage: Eukaryota; Metazoa; Chordata; Mammalia; Primates; Hominidae.